GGGAGAACCACGCCGGCUUGGUACAGAGUCCGUCUCGCUCAUCCCAGAACAAUUAUAUAGUUUCUCCUCUAAUGUUACAGAGUGAGGAACGGGCUGAUCCCAGAACAGUUUUAUAGUUUCUCCUCUAAUAUUACAUAUUACGGUGUGACGAACGAACUGAUCCCAGAACAAUAUUAUAGUUUCUCCUCUAAUGUUACAGACUACAGAGCGAGGAACGGGCUGAUCCCAGAACAGUUUUAUAGUUUCUCCUCUAAUGUUAUGGAGUGAGGAACGAUCUGAUCCCAGAGCAGUUUUAUAGUUUCUUCUCUAAUGUUACAGAUUACAGUGAGGAAUGAGCUGAUCCCAGAACAGUUUUAUAGUUUUUCCUCUAAUGUUACAGACUACAGAGCGAGGAACGAGCUGAUCCCCGAACAGUUUUAUAGUUUCUCCUCUAAUAUUACAGAUUACAGUGUGAGGAACGGGCUGAUUCCAGAACAGUUUUAUAUUUUCUCCUCUAAUAUUACAGAUUACGGAGUGAGGAACAGGCUGAUCCCAGAACAGUUUAAUAAUUUCUCCUCUAAUAUUACAGAGUGAGGAACAGGCUGAUCCCAGAACAGUUUAAUAAUUUCUCCUCUAAUGUUACAGUGUGAGGAACAGGCUGAUCCCAGAACAGUUUUAUAGUUUCUCCUAUAAUAUUACAGAUUACAGAGUGAGGAACGAGCUGAUCCCAGAACAGUUUUAUAGUUUCUCCUCUAAUGUUACAGAUUACAGAGUGAGGAACGGGCUGAUCCCAGAACAGUUUUAUCGUCUCUCCUCUAAUAUUGCAGAUUACAGAAUAACUGUUUGGACAGAGAGAAAGUUAUUAUUUUAUCUGUCUGCCACAGUAUAUUAGAGCACUCAAAGUGCUGACUUUCAGCUUUAACUGAAGGGUAUAUUCAUGCACAUCGGGUGAAGGGUGUACCAAUCACAGCGGUGCAUUGAGUCAUUGUCCAUCUGCGCAAUUUUAUUUCGGAGAAUUUGGCUGAAUCUGAGCUGAUAAUUUGGCCCUAUAGACUUCAUCCAUAAAUACAAGGGAAUUUCAUUAACAGUUUCAUUAACACGCCCACGCCGUAAGAUGAGAUAGUACGCGUCAGCUCACGACCGCUCCCUUCCCUUCACCCUACUCUUCUCUUCCUAUUAUUAUUCUGCUAAAAGCUGAUCUUCGUCUCAUCCGCCCGUAGGAUGUUGUUCAGAACUGUACAGGUGAUUGUGGCCAACUCUAAUCUGGUCUUCCUGUUUUUGAGGCUUACCAGCGGUGUUCAUCUCGUAGUAAACCGUCUGUAUUUACCCCGGCGAAGACUUCUCUGGAUUGUUGACUUUCACGCCGAUACUUUAACACCGCCUCCCUCCUGGAGAGUGUUCUUGUCAUCCAGCACCGUUGUUUUCUGGGGUCUUCUGGAACUUUUGGUAUUCCUGAGCUCACCAGUGCGUUCUUUCUGUUUGUUUUUGUUUUUUUUUAAAAGAGCAUACCAAAAUAGUUGAUUUGGCUAGACCUAAUGUAUGUGCUGUCUCUCCGAUGGGUAUGUUUUUGAUCUAUUUUUAGAUUAUUUAUUUUUCGCUUCACUGGCAUCGGCGGCUCUUUGGACGGGACAGAAUCCCGCUUCUGCUUACUUCUAAGUGAAAUAAUGAAGGAAGAACACGCACCUGGCCACGGUACGGCUGAGCCUGCUGUGAAAACCAUAACACCCAUAAUAUAUAUAUAUAAAUAUAUACACACAUAUGGGCGCUCGUUUGGAGCCAUGGAGUGUCAGGGGGCAGAGUGCAGGAGAAGCAGAGCGCCCGCGAGUGUGUCACGGCCGAAGGUGUCUGCGGCGUGUGUCUAAUUGAGCUGCGUGUAGUUAAUUGUUUGUACAUAGGAGGGGAGAAAUCAAUCUGUUUUCUUACUGUCAUGACUCCUGGGCCCCGGGGUGAUGGACUAGAUCUGGCACGGACACUGGGAAGGCCUGCCAAGUGAAGCUCCGUACGCAGCCUUUCUCCCUCAGCGUACACACACACACACACACACACACACUCGCAUACAAAUACACACUGUUGUGUAUGCAUACUAUACACUAACGCACAACACACACACACACACACUGUCGCUGGAGUGAAGUUAGCUCCAUCGAUCUAGAAGCCCGGAACCUGAGCUCUGGGAGAGGCGAGAGAAGAGAAGAGUGUGUGUGUGUGUGUGUGUGUGUAUUCACACCGAACCCCCCUCUGACUCGGAGAGGCUUUCAGUGCAUCGUAUGAAGAGGAGCUGAACAGAAGAGAAGAUAUUGCAUUAGUCGCAGCUUUCGCCCGUCAGGACAAAUCCGUUUUACGCGCUCAAGGCGCCAGCGAUGCUCUGCAGGCGCGUAUUCAUCUCGGCGCGCCCCGCAAAUCGGUUUAACGUCACCGGGUAAUACAUCAGCCCGGCUAAAGCAGAUAGAUGAUAGGCUUCAGCGCUAAACAAAUGGUGCUGGUCAUAAUUCAUACAUAAACGCUGCGUUUGGUUAAAAAAAAAAAAAAAAAAAAAAAAAGGAUCCUGUGCUAAACAUCCUGCGUUUAGGAAUACUCUGUGUUUAACUCCUCCCAGAAUUUUGAUCGUGGGCGUAGGAGACGUUAUACCUGGUGGGGG
Ictalurus punctatus (channel catfish) is the source of this 2617-nucleotide long non-coding RNA. Lineage: Eukaryota; Metazoa; Chordata; Actinopteri; Siluriformes; Ictaluridae. The record is from Ensembl.